GAUGAACGCUGGCGGCGUGCCUAAUACAUGCGAGUCGAGCGAACAGACGAGGAGCUUGUUCCUCUGACGUUAGCGGCGGACGGGUGAGUAACGCGUGGAUAACCUACCUAUAAGACUGGGAUAACUUCGGGAAACCGGAUCUAAUACCGGAGAAUAUAUUGAACCGCAGGGUUCAAUAGUGAAAGACGGCUUUUCUGUCACUUAUAGCUGGAUCCGCGCUGCAUUGGCUAGUUGGUAAGGUAACGGCUUACCAAGGCAACGAUGCCUAGCCGACCUGAGAGGGUGAUCGCCCCCUCUGGAACUGAGCAGCGGUCCAGCCUCCUACGUGAGGCAGCAGUAGGGAAUCUUCCGAAAUGGGCGAAAGCUUGCCCAAGCAACGCCACGUGGGUGAUGAAGGUCUUCGGUUCGUAAAACUCUGUUAUGGGUGAAGAACAAAUGUGUAUGUGACUAUGCGCGUCUUGCCGUUACCUAAACAGAAGGACCCGCCUACCUCCGG
This 496-nucleotide ribosomal RNA is filed under the name uncultured bacterium. RNAcentral's name for it is "partial 16S ribosomal RNA". It matches the Rfam family "Bacterial small subunit ribosomal RNA", at positions 28 to 506 of the family's 1533-position model. The record is from RNAcentral.